Molecule: long non-coding RNA, 1188 nt
Filed under: Nicotiana benthamiana
Lineage: Eukaryota; Viridiplantae; Streptophyta; Magnoliopsida; Solanales; Solanaceae
Description: long non-coding RNA (NBEN_LNC028827)
Source: RNAcentral
AUACUUGCAAAACUUGGUAACAACAGCAGCUUGGGACAUAUCUUUAAACCCAUAGAUGUGCCUGCUUAUGGUUAUAGUUCAGACUAGAAACUGAUAUGUACCAUAAUGGGUAUAUAAGGUAGCAUUUUCAGUGGAGAUAUUUGCUAAUUGUUCGUGAUACAUUACAAACCAAAAUCUUGCGGACUUUUGCUUUUUCACGAGAAAGAUCAUCAAACUUCUGCGUUGUCUGCGUACUUUGUGUAGGCCUUUUCAGAUGUUUUCUUGUAUGUGCUGGUUAUCUGUGUGUCUAAUAGAUUUUACUCUUACAUGUAGGAUGCAGCUCUUUCGCAGAUUUUCGACCGACAAUUGACAUGUUGCUCUUAUGUUGCUUGCAGGAUGGUGAUUAUGCAUGUAUUUUGAAGAAACCUAAAUUAGCUCAUGCUGAUCUCUAAAACUAGUAUUUUGGGGCCUUCUUUGAAAUGCUUUAGAUUUUCUAGGACUUGAAUUCUGACAUUAGUUAUUGAUGAAUGUAGUUGCAACGUUGCUAUUGCAUAGGGGUAUAACUUGGUUCUAUAUAUUAGGUUUUGGAUUUACAAUAGUAUAUAUAAUGGUACUGACUAAGGAUACUGGCUUCUCCCCUUCUCACUGAGUUUUCCUCUCUUAAUCUACACUUUGGUCCAUUUAUUAUGGCAUGAUAUCUGGUUAAUUACAGUGCACUUCAAUUCCUGUUUUUUUAGAUGUGAUUUUAAAAUUAAUUUUCCAGUUUUUCUUUGUUUAGCCAUCUAGUAUUCCAAUAUCAAGUGGCCGGGCUCAAACUCAAGCUUUUGUGAAAAUAGGACGGACUAGUCAAUUUUCAGACUGGUAAUUAAAAAAUAGUCAGUAUUUGUAAAGUUAUUGAAAAAUAGCUAUUAUUUUGCUGCAACACGAAAAGUUUUAGCAUAAUAUACUGGAGAUUGGUAUACCUGUAUAUGAACUUUCAGCAUAUUACGGUGGAACUCCAACACAGAAAGUUUAAUAUGCUGGAACUCCAACACAUAGAAAAUUCCAGCAUAAUAUACUGGAGAUUGGAGCACUUGUGUAUGAACUUUCAGUAUAUUAUAAUAGAAAUUCAGUAUAUUAUGAUGGAAUAUUUUCCACAUUUGGAACAGUAUAUUCGUUCAAAUUUAUCCUUAUAUGAAAAGUGAUUAAAUUUCAAUUAUUUUUUAAGCU